This is a long non-coding RNA of Dendronephthya gigantea, 881 nucleotides long. RefSeq lists it as uncharacterized. The record is from RefSeq and is a predicted model, not a curated record. The transcript is spliced from 3 exons. NCBI's taxonomy places the organism in Eukaryota, Metazoa, Cnidaria, Anthozoa, Malacalcyonacea, Nephtheidae.
AUGAAAAUUUAUGCAUUCUGAUUGGGUCACUGAAAAUGUAAACAAACUUGCUGAUUGGUCUAAAACGAAAUUCCCCCUUGUUACUGUCUUGCUGAUCUCUUUCCAGCCUAAAAAUGGGCCUGCGAGCAUUUUGCACACCGGCAUCGUGAUUUUUAUUAUAUACGGCAAAAAUCAUUAAACUUUGAUAAAAGUGAUCAGAUCGUGUUGCAGUCUUUGGCCUGAACGUCAUAGCAAAGUCCUGUCCUCAGUUGGCUGGCAAUCGGAAAUUUUUUUUCAGAUAAAAAAAAAUAUUGCAGCUUUUUUCAUGAUGAAUUUGCGAGUGGUUUUCCUUUUGAGUCUUAUUCUGUGUUUGGCGGUGAUGAACACCGCUGGACUUUGGGGACGAGGGCGCUCACGUCGUAAGUGUCGUAAUAAUCCGCUAGGCGGGUACCUCAAAGGAUCUGAUCUCGGAUGUUGUGGAAACUACAAAGGUUGUUGCAGACUUGCAAGUAAAGUGUGCUUGGAGCAUGACAAAGUGUGUUUGUGUUGUGACAAAUGGCACUGCGGAUGGGAUUGUAAAAAACAUCAUUCGUGUGGCAAAUGAAUUGACACUCACGGGAAUACUAACUAACAUUGUCCUAAUAUAUGUUGUUGUUGUUUUGUGAAUAUACUAACAACUAUUUUAUUUUUGUAAUGCCGUUAUUGAAGACACAUAACGAGAUAUGGCACCAUUUUUAAUAACUAUUGUAAUGACACCUAAAUUUUUCAAUCCUGUUUUACUUUUUGCCCUUAUGUGAUAUGGUAAUUCAUAAAACGUAGCAUAAACCAUGUUUUUUGAUAAUAAUAAACUAGUAUUACAAAUUGUAAGAAAUGCUGCGCGUGAAUACACGUAGUGCCUUUAU